GGGCCUGUAGCUCAAUUGGUUUGAGCCGUCGGCUCAUAGCCGAUUGGUUGCAUCAAGUCCUUGCCGGGCCCA
Molecule: transfer RNA, 72 nt
Filed under: Rhizobium leguminosarum bv. viciae
Lineage: Bacteria; Pseudomonadati; Pseudomonadota; Alphaproteobacteria; Hyphomicrobiales; Rhizobiaceae
Also listed under: 1 other name
Description: tRNA-Ile
Source: RNAcentral